UUUUAUGAGAGUUUGAUCCUGGCUCAGGACGAACGCUGGCGGCGUGCCUAAUACAUGCAAGUCGUACGCUUCUUUUUCCACCGGAGCUUGCUCCACCGGAAAAAGAGGAGUGGCGAACGGGUGAGUAACACGUGGGUAACCUGCCCAUCAGAAGGGGAUAACACUUGGAAACAGGUGCUAAUAC
RNAcentral lists this ribosomal RNA (184 nucleotides) under Enterococcus faecium. RNAcentral's name for it is "partial 16S ribosomal RNA". It matches the Rfam family "Bacterial small subunit ribosomal RNA", at positions 1 to 169 of the family's 1533-position model. The record is from RNAcentral. RNAcentral also lists the same sequence under 1 other name. Lineage: Bacteria; Bacillati; Bacillota; Bacilli; Lactobacillales; Enterococcaceae.